GUGCCAGCCGCCACGGUAAUACCGGCAGCACAAGUGAUGGCCGAUUUUAUUGGGCCUAAAGCGUCCGUAGCCGGCCGGACAAGUCCGUUGGGAAAUCCACGCGCUCAACGCGUGGGCGUCCAGCGGAAACUGUCCGGCUUGGGGCCGGAAGACUUGAGGGGUACGUCCGGGGUAGGAGUGAAAUCCUGUAAUCCUGGACGGACCACCGAUGGCGAAAGCACCUCAAGAAGACGGACCCGACGGUGAGGGACGAAAGCUAGGGUCUCGAACCGGAUUAGAUACCCCAGUAGUCC
Molecule: ribosomal RNA, 293 nt
Filed under: uncultured bacterium
Lineage: Bacteria
Description: partial 16S ribosomal RNA
Rfam family: Archaeal small subunit ribosomal RNA
Source: RNAcentral